This is a long non-coding RNA of Nicotiana tabacum (common tobacco), 458 nucleotides long. RefSeq lists it as uncharacterized. The record is from RefSeq and is a predicted model, not a curated record. Lineage: Eukaryota; Viridiplantae; Streptophyta; Magnoliopsida; Solanales; Solanaceae.
UUGUAUUCUUAUCUUCAUGCAAUUUAACAUGAAACUUUCAUCUGCAUUUUUUCUCAGAAACUUUCUUUCAUUCUUCUUUCUACGUCUAUGUCCUUCGAUUCACUUUCAGUUUUAGUUGUUGUGCCUCUGUGACCUUUUUCCCUUUUGAUAAUUGGAGAUAGAAACUACAUUGAAACAGAUGCAUUCUCAGAACAAAAACAGUUCUUCCUACUUGGCAGAAUGAAACGCAGAAAUGAAUUUCAGACAACGUGAGAAGUAUAAGCAAAAUGGAAUCCACUAAAAAACAUGCUCUACUACCAAAACACCGACUACGAGCAAAAAAUCCACUGCAUCUGCAUUGUCAUCUGAAAUAGGUUAGAAUACUAAGCAUAUGUGUUUUCUGCCUUUGUGUAGAAUUUUCUACAUGUUCAUAUAUAUCUUCUGAUAAAUACGCUUACUUUGUCAAGCUUAUUUGGUUA